GACGAACGCUGGCGGCGUGCUUAACACAUGCAAGUCGAACGGAAAGGCCCUGCUUUUGUGGGGUGCUCGAGUGGCGAACGGGUGAGUAACACGUGAGUAACCUGCCCUUGACUUUGGGAUAACUUCAGGAAACUGGGGCUAAUACCGGAUAGGAGCUCCUGCUGCAUGGUGGGGGUUGGAAAGUUUCGGCGGUUGGGGAUGGACUCGCGGCUUAUCAGCUUGUUGGUGGGGUAGUGGCUUACCAAGGCUUUGACGGGUAGCCGGCCUGAGAGGGUGACCGGCCACAAUGGGACUGAGAUACCGGCCAGGCUCCUACGGGGGGCAGCAGGGGGGAAUAUUGCACAAUGGGCGGAAGCCUGAUGCAGCAACCCCGCGUGCGGGAUGACGGCCUUUGGGUUGUAAACCGCUUUCGCCUGUGACGAAGCGUGAGUGACGGUAAUGGGUAAAGAAGCACCGGCUAACUACGUG
Molecule: ribosomal RNA, 468 nt
Filed under: uncultured bacterium
Lineage: Bacteria
Description: partial 16S ribosomal RNA
Rfam family: Bacterial small subunit ribosomal RNA
Source: RNAcentral